This 88-nucleotide ribosomal RNA is filed under the name Escherichia coli. RNAcentral's name for it is "partial 16S ribosomal RNA". It matches the Rfam family "Bacterial small subunit ribosomal RNA", at positions 1 to 89 of the family's 1533-position model. The record is from RNAcentral. Lineage: Bacteria; Pseudomonadati; Pseudomonadota; Gammaproteobacteria; Enterobacterales; Enterobacteriaceae.
AAAUUGAAGAGUUUGAUCAUGGCUCAGAUUGAACGCUGGCGGCAGGCUUAACACAUGCAAGUCGAACGGUAACAGGAAGAAGCUUGCU